CUAUCUGAUGUAUAAAUGUGUUUACUAGCCUCCUGGAACUAGUAAUUGUAUCACAUUUGAGUCCCAGAGGAUUGCGGCGCUUCAGUUACCGCUUUAUUCUCAACGUUACAGUUUGAGGAGCAUUAAAAUAAGGAAGGAAAUAUAUUCUUUUGAGACAUUGGCGUAACUUUGUAGUGGUCUUUCCUGUAUGAUAGAAGGACCAUAUUCUUGUGCUCUUGGCGGUGGUUAAUGGCGGCGGGAGGACAUACAGAGGACAUAAAUCAACCAGGUACGUCUACUAGCAUGGGUAUCGUAGCUGUACCUGAUGCUGUGACCGGAGACGCAGACGGUGUAGCUGUUACUCCAUCGGCGGCGUUGAGGGCACCUGGAAAUAUUGAUGACAACACAAGAUCGGCAGAGAUGGUAGGAGCAGAUCAACACAUCCCCAUGAGACAUAUUGGGGCGCAUGAUUAAAACACACCUCACAUUCUACAAAGUCAUGAAAGUAGGAUUCCGCAACAUUGCAUUAUGGAUUUUGUUUCGAAAAUGCAUGGUGGUCCAGAAAACGUUCCAAUAACCGCGCAGGACAUGAGUAACCUGAGACGAGACAGUCGAUGCAUUCGAGUGGGUCUUCAAUAUGUUCAAAACAUGCAUGGGAUGUGACGGACCACGAGUAAUGUUGACAGAUCAAGACUCUGCGAUGCCAAUCGCACUAGGCAGGGUCUUCCCAAACACAAUAUAUCGGUUGUAUUUGUGGCAUGUGCAAAACAUGUAUAUGCCCACUUGAAUGAAUUGUAUGCAAGAUUUGAGGAAGUGGAUUUCAAAACAAGGUUCCAGUCUAUAAUACAUCAUCCAUUGAAUAAAAUGGUGUUCGAGGUCGCCUGGCAAGUGAUGCUAAAUGAUUUCCAGCUACACGAGAACAACACCUUGUCAGAUUGUAUGAAAUAUGUAAAGACUGGGUACCUGCAUUUUUCAAAGGAGACUAUUGUGGUCAUAUGGUCUGUACAUAACGUAGCGAAAGCAUGAACAAGCUAGUGAAGAGUGCCCAUGUGGAUGCAAACACACCGCUUCAUCAAUUUGCAAAGCAAAUGAUGAAGCUUCUGCAUAGUAGGAAGAUGAAAGAGGCCAAAGAGGCACUAGGAUGCAUGGGUCAAAAGGAUACAACUACAUUGGAACAGAACAACGAUAUGCUUCUGGUUAGGGCUGGAAAAUAAGCUCAAGGCUCGCGAGCUGGCUCGAGCUCGGAGCGGCUCGCGAGCCUCGAGCGAGCCGAGCUGAGCCAUCUUUUUGGGCUCAUUGCCGUAGCGAGCCGAGCCGAGCCGAGCCAACUCGUUCCGGCUCGCGAGCUAUGACAAAUUACUUUAUAUGUAGAAUAAUGAUGGAUAUUGGCUAAUUUUAUAGAUACUCUGUUUGUUCCUUAGCGUGUCAUUAUAUAUAUGACAAUUAAUAAUUUAGAUUACUCAUUAUGAUGAAUGAUAUCUAUAUAUUUCAUAUUUAUAUACUAAUAAUUCACUAUAUAAUGGAAUUAUAUAUAUCAGGGUGUGGCUCGCGAGCCGAGCCGUCUCGCGAGCCACUUUCAAGCCGAGUCGAGUCUGCCUCCCCAGCUCGUGAAAUGUACGAGCCGAGUCGAGCUCGAUCAACCACUGAGCUGCACCGAGUCGAGCCAAGAUCGGCUCGUUUCCUGCCCUACAUCUGGUUGCUAGUAGUGCUCCGGAUGUGGAAGCUAGAAAGAAACUGAAGUUUCAUAUGGAAGGUGUAAACUUAGCAAGACCAGAUAAGGCCAAGCCUAAGGGACGAACGAUCAAAAGUAGCGAGCAACAAGUUCUUAGGUUGGGUGUGAAAGGAGCAAAGAAGAUGAGCAGAAAGUGCCAAAAGUGUGGCAUCGCUGAUGGUCACAACAGUCGUACGUGUUUAACUGUGGAGGAUAAUAGGAUUCGAUUGGCUAACCUAGCUGGACGCAAGAGAGGACGACCUUCUGGUUCAAGGAACAAAAUUGGAGGUGCAACACCAAAGUGGAAUGAGACAUCAACGUCAAAAAACGAACAGUGUAUGUCGAAGAUGAUGAUUCAUCUGGUAGAGAGUAGAAUACCAAAAGAAUUAUGAGAUCAUGGGUUGUUUUUGUGGUAACUACUGUUGCAAAUGGAUAAACGACAUACCUUAUACUUACAAUAUAUGUUAAAAGUAUAUUUGGAUGCAACUGUGAAUCAUGUGUUAUAUUUGCAAACCACAUACAAACAUCAUAAAUAUAUACUGAUAAUAUCAUAAAUUUAUGUGAAAGAUAUCAUAAACAUUAUACACAUAUCAAGAAUUUAGAAAUCUACAAAGUAACAUUGUUUGCGCACUAUGGGUCAAAAAAUAAGCAUAACACGGUGCUGUUUAUAGCAUACACUUGUGACAAAAGAAGCAUAAUCAAAUAAAGAAAACACACAUGAAAAUAAAAACAUAGGAAACAUUGCAGUUUAGACAUUACUGUUCCAAGGUUGUCAUUUACAUAGCAUAUAAAACAUCAACAUCGACACCUGAUUGUUCUACCGUCAUUACCAUAGUAUACACACAUAACUCCAGAUGAAGUGUAUGGAAAUAUUGUAUACAUAAUAUCUAACACAACUAAACUAGACUACAUCCGUGAGAACUUGAAUCUUUGGAUGUCUGCAAGGAGCGAGAUGGCUUUGUUCUUGCGAUGGAAUGUGAUGUAUUACAGUGCAAGAGACCGUAGAUCCCUGGUGUUGUCCUACAAGCCAAUAAAAUUGUGUUAGCUAGACAUAAGUACCGUAUACUGACUUGGGGCCAAUUAUAAAACGAAAUGAUAAAUUUGUACGUACUGGUUGUAUGUAUGACUUGUCAGGUCCUUCGAUGCAGUCAUAAUAGUGAAUAUAUCUCAUAACAUAGAACCCACAAUCAUUGGCGCCUGCUUCCAUGGUCAAUUGCAAAGUUGCCAAAUUUUGGAAAGCAUGACCUAGGGCGGACAUGUUGCAGGGCUUUGUUUAGCCUACUCAUUAUAACCUUAGACCAUGGUAACUUCCUACCACCUAAGUCCAUUUUGGCAAAAUGGUAAUCCUUCCAAGUAGUACCAUCAAGUUUUGGCCUGUAGGGAUUAGAAUCUAAAAUGUGAAUGUACCGUUUGACUGUAUUGACAAAAUACAAUGUCCAGUGCCCCUUACUUAGCAUGGGAAUCAUGAUCUGAUCGUGUAAAAAACAUGAAGAUUAACAAUAACAUAUAUGGUUAUGCAUUAAGAUGUGAAAUGCACCAUUUAACGUAAAUCAUGUUUGCAAAUUGUAAAACGGUUGUUACCGAUUUGCAUUUAUCCAAUUUGUCUGUCUCGGGCAAUAAAUUGUCGAGAAAUGUGUGUAGGAUAGUUUCAUCAAACGGCUGUGGAUUUCUGUUGUGCUGUUCCCGUUCCUCGAUGUUCAGUAGGGACUGCAAUAAAAAAAUUAAUGAAGUCAGUUUAUUUGGGAUACCAUUGUGUAUAUGAAUAUGGUAUAGAUAUGUUACGAUAGUUUACCCCAACGUUAACGUCAAGAAUUAAUCUGUUGGAACUCAUGGAAGGCUGAUGAUUUAUGGCAUCAUCGUCAACACAUUGAAUGAAGCACUGCAUGAACACAUUAUCGAGGCACUUCCCGUCGGCGAAAGAUUCAUAUAUAUCAGAACAUGUAGCACAAUUUUCAUCAUAGUCUAUUAUGUUCCUGUGGACAUUUUGAUAACAAUUAGUGAGUAAAUGACUAUUUGAGUAGCAGUAUAUCCACAAUGGUGAAUUGAGUGAACUUUAUACCUGCUGUUGUCAAAUCGCGUACCACACAAGUAGUCAUGGAGAGCUCACACACAUUGAAUCUCUGAAUCAUGUGAGUCAUGGUCAACCUGGGAAGUGUUUAUGUCUGGUUCGGUUUCAAUAGAAACCUAAAAAAGGUUAUAUGUUAGAUAGAUUUGCAGCUUUGUAUAAUUUUGGCAAUUAUAAUGAAAAUAUAUAUUAAUGUACUGAUAUAUUCAGAUGGAGUCUGGUCAAAACAUGGGCCACUGUCGGGGAGAUCUGAUUUUGCCGCCGACUAGACACUUCCUGGACACUGUAAAAAUUAUGGUAGUUAUGGAUUAGUUGUUUAGUACACUACUUAUUAUAUAAAAAUACUGCGAGUGGGAAUAAUCAUACAUUUAUUUGCGGCGUCGUAUCAAAUAUCGGCGAGCAAGAUUCCAUGUGGAAUGUUGAUUGUGCAUUAUGGUGUUACUUGAGGAGUGAUGUUUUGUUGCUCGACGUGUUCUUGCCAAUAUCACCGUGUUGACCAUGACGACAAUGUAAUGAGUUAUAUGCUAAUUAGAAAAAACAUUGAAUAUAAACCUUCAAGGAAAAAACAAGCAAUUAAAAAAAUAGCAUUGCCACUGGGAUUGUAUGCACUAGUAGAUCAAUGUCAACUUCAUCAGGGCAACUUUGUAAUAGUACACGAAUAUGCUGUUGCCUUAACAGUAAUUCAUGUACCCGUGUGUGUGUCAACUGCGUCAAAGGCUGCGAUGCUGGAGUAGACAUCUCUGAUACAGUUCGGGUGGCCGGACUCCUACAUGCUUCUUUAUGUAACAUUGAAGCAACAUAAACAAAUUAUUUAAUAAUGACAUCAUAACCAUAUUUAAAGGUUUGCAUAACUGUGUGCAGUCACAUAAAAACCAGUAAACUGACUAACUUGCUAAAUGGUGAUGAAUAUCAUCUGAUUUUUUGGAUGCUUGCUGCACAUCAUAACCAUCUUCAUUCUCAU
Long non-coding RNA from Zea mays, 4716 nucleotides. RefSeq lists it as uncharacterized. NCBI's taxonomy places the organism in Eukaryota, Viridiplantae, Streptophyta, Magnoliopsida, Poales, Poaceae. The record is from RefSeq and is a predicted model, not a curated record. The transcript has 6 exons.